Molecule: long non-coding RNA, 244 nt
Filed under: Elaeis guineensis (African oil palm)
Lineage: Eukaryota; Viridiplantae; Streptophyta; Magnoliopsida; Arecales; Arecaceae
Description: long non-coding RNA (EGUI_LNC053848)
Source: RNAcentral
CCUCACACACCCAAAAACACCUCAAAAAAAUUAAGAAAAAAAUCAUUAGAUGCCAAACAACCUUCCUUGUUUGAAAAAUCACUUUCCUUCUUAUCACCUUAUCUCUAAUUCAGAUUGCAUUCGAAUUAGGCAGGAGAUAAGAUUAUGACUAACCAUCCAUUGCUGCCCACGCUUAUUGGGUCCACUCUCAUGAUGCCAAAAAGCUCAAGCCAAAUCAAAUUUGGUGUUGAGAUUUGUGCAUGAG